This 467-nucleotide small RNA is filed under the name Pan troglodytes (chimpanzee). Its description in RNAcentral is "retained intron". The record is from RNAcentral. Lineage: Eukaryota; Metazoa; Chordata; Mammalia; Primates; Hominidae.
CGAGGCAAGGGCACAGCCCAGGCCUGGCCCCCAGGCCGUUCCAAGGGAGGAUCCUUCCACAGAGGUGCAGGGAAGCCCUCUGUGCACUCUCAGGUGGCUGAGUUACAUAAAAAGAUACAACUGUUAGAGGGUGACCGGAAGGCUUUUUUUGAGAGCUCUCAGUGGAACAUCAAGAAGAACCAGGAGACCAUCAGUCAGCUCCGCAAGGAGACUAAGGCACUGGAACUAAAGCUGCUGGACCUGCUCAAGGGAGAUGAGAAAGUGGUCCAGGCAGUGAUUCACGAAUGGAAGUGGGAGAAGCCAUACCUGAAGAACAGGACAGGACAGGUUUGCCCACCCUCGCCCCACCUCCUCCUUCAUUUCCAGCCUGGGUCCCCUCACCACUGGACUCCAGGCUCACCCUCUCCAAUCCUUCCUGCACACUAGCUGCCAUUCAUGUGCUCAUUCAAUUAAAUCUUUAUUACUCA